AGUGCCAGUCUGGUGCCAGUCGGUUCCAUUUUAUUGCCUCCUGGAGGGGGAGGUGCAUCCCGAAGAAACGGAACACAGUUCGGGCAAGGAUCUUGAAUUCGGUGGCUUAGAAAGGAUCUUAGCAAGUUGUCAGUUUCCAAAAGAGAUUUAUAUGACCCCAAAGCCAAGCAAUGUGCCCCUGUGGAAAAGGAAAAUCAUCAAUAAUGAAAAUCAUGGAUGGAAAAGGUGCCACUUGUUGAACAAAAGAAUAAAGGAUCCCCCAAUGUCAACUAUAGUUGUCAGAUGGCUGAAAAGGAACAUGAAACCCACUGAAGAUCUUCAGUCAGUAAUCCAGAAGCUGUCCAAUUUUGGGCCAAUUAAGUCAGUCAGCCUUUGUGGACAGCAAAGUGCCAUCGUGGUAUUUGAGAACACGACUUCAGCAUGCAAUGCUGUGAGUGCUUUUCACAGCAGGACCCCUGGCACCAUGGUGCAGUGUUCCUGGCAACAACCAUUUAUGUCAAAAGUUGUAAGGGUCCCUUUACCAAAAACCUAUAAAGCUUAUUCAAGAAAAUAUACUGAGAAGUCACAACCUAAGGAACAGAAAACUGAAAAAAAUGGAAUGAAAACUAAAAGGCCAACAACCAUAGCUAAGGGGCCACAAACAGGUACAU
This is a long non-coding RNA of Myotis daubentonii (Daubenton's bat), 650 nucleotides long. RefSeq lists it as uncharacterized. The transcript is spliced from 4 exons. Lineage: Eukaryota; Metazoa; Chordata; Mammalia; Chiroptera; Vespertilionidae. The record is from RefSeq and is a predicted model, not a curated record.